This 235-nucleotide long non-coding RNA is filed under the name Elaeis guineensis (African oil palm). Its description in RNAcentral is "long non-coding RNA (EGUI_LNC070060)". Lineage: Eukaryota; Viridiplantae; Streptophyta; Magnoliopsida; Arecales; Arecaceae. The record is from RNAcentral.
CUUAAGGAUGUUUGUUCAUUGGGUUUCAGGUUUGAUCUUAUCAAAUCCGAUUUAGAUUCAAUCAUUGGUAUCAGUUCUUCUACUUGUCAAACUUUGUCAAGCUCUAUUUUAGAGGCACUUAUUCCUUCACUAAGGAAUUUUUUUUUCAAAAAAUGUGCCUUACUGCUGACAAACACCUUUUGUUUAGUAGACAAGUAAAAAUAAUAUCCCCUCAUUUUCUUAGGAUACCCUACGA